UGCUUGAAAAAUGGCAAGCUCCAGUGACUGGACAAACUACUGUGACAAGAACAACUAAAGAAGAAAAAUAUUUGUUUAGAGUUAACAAUUCCUAGGUUUCUGUCCGUGAUCAGCAGUUCAUGUUUUCUACGCUGUGAUAAGAUUGAGCAUCAGGGCAGAAAAGUGCAUGGACAAGCAAAGGUGGCCAGGAAGCACAGAGAAGAAAAUGGGAAUGUGGACCAGGUCUCAACUCUGGGCUCAAAAUAUCUCCUAUAGCUCAAUCUAUAACAAUGACAGAAUACAAUACGACCUCAGCUAGACUGGAGCAUGGCUCGAACCAAGCCUGGAAAACAAUCACCAAAACCAAAAACCAAAAGAAAGAAUGUAUACUGUGUUGAAACUGCCUGUGUUGAAACUGCCUGUGUUGCUUCCCCGA
Long non-coding RNA from Mastomys coucha (southern multimammate mouse), 415 nucleotides. RefSeq lists it as uncharacterized. The transcript has 3 exons. NCBI's taxonomy places the organism in Eukaryota, Metazoa, Chordata, Mammalia, Rodentia, Muridae. The record is from RefSeq and is a predicted model, not a curated record.